This 460-nucleotide ribosomal RNA is filed under the name uncultured bacterium. RNAcentral describes it as "bacterial SSU rRNA". It matches the Rfam family "Bacterial small subunit ribosomal RNA", at positions 339 to 796 of the family's 1533-position model. The record is from RNAcentral.
GUACGGGAGGCAGCAGUGGGGAAUAUUGGUCAAUGGAGGCAACUCUGAACCAGCCAUGCCGCGUGCAGGAUGAAGGCCCUAUGGGUCGUAAACUGCUUUUGUACCAGAGAAAACCCUUCUACGUGUAGAAGGUUGAUAGUAUGGUAAGAAUAAGCAUCGGCUAACUUCGUGCCAGCAGCCGCGGUAAGACGAAGGAUGCAAGCGUUAUCCGGAUUCAUUGGGUUUAAAGGGUGCGUAGGCGGACUGAUAAGUCAGUGGUGAAAUCUCUCAGCUUAACUGAGAAACUGCCAUUGAUACUGUCAGUCUAGAGUACAGAUGAUGUGGGCGGAAUAUGACAUGUAGUGGUGAAAUACUUAGAUAUGUCAUAGAACACCGAUUGCGAAGGCAGCUCACAAAACUGUAACUGACGCUGAGGCACGAAAGUGCGGGGAUCAAACAGGAUUAGAUACCCGGGUAGUCC